GGAGGUUUGACCGAGCGGUAAGGUGCCCGACUCUCAAUCGGCGGCUGUCCUGGCCAUACCAGGGCACGUGGGUUCGAUCCCCACAGCCUCCGCCA
Molecule: transfer RNA, 95 nt
Filed under: Gemmatimonadota bacterium
Lineage: Bacteria; Pseudomonadati; Gemmatimonadota
Description: Gemmatimonadetes bacterium tRNA-Glu
Rfam family: tRNA
About the family: Transfer RNA (tRNA) molecules are approximately 80 nucleotides in length.
Source: RNAcentral